Molecule: ribosomal RNA, 552 nt
Filed under: Odocoileus hemionus (mule deer)
Lineage: Eukaryota; Metazoa; Chordata; Mammalia; Artiodactyla; Cervidae
Description: partial 16S ribosomal RNA
Rfam family: Bacterial large subunit ribosomal RNA
Source: RNAcentral
AUAACUAGUAUUGGAGGCAUUGCCUGCCCAGUGACAACCGUUAAACGGCCGCGGUAUCCUGACCGUGCAAAGGUAGCAUAAUCAUUUGUUCUCUAAAUAAGGACUUGUAUGAAUGGCCAAACGAGGGUUUUACUGUCUCUUACUUCCAAUCAGUGAAAUUGACCUUCCCGUGAAGAGGCGGGAAUACCAUAAUAAGACGAGAAGACCCUAUGGAGCUUUAACUACUUAGUCCAAAGAAAUAAAUUUAUUAACCAAGGAAACAACAAUACUCUUUAUGGACUAACAGCUUUGGUUGGGGUGACCUCGGAGAACAGAAAAUCCUCCGAGCGAUUUUAAAGACUAGACUCACAAGUCAAAUCACACAAUCGCUUAUUGAUCCAAAAAAUUGAUCAACGGAACAAGUUACCCUAGGGAUAACAGCGCAAUCCUAUUCAAGAGUUCAUAUCGACAAUAGGGUUUACGACCUCGAUGUUGGAUCAGGACACCCCGAUGGUGCAACCGCUAUCAAAGGUUCGUUUGUUCAACGAUUAAAGUCCUACGUGAUCUGAGUUA